Molecule: long non-coding RNA, 725 nt
Organism: Gasterosteus aculeatus aculeatus (three-spined stickleback)
Lineage: Eukaryota; Metazoa; Chordata; Actinopteri; Perciformes; Gasterosteidae
Source: Ensembl
AAAAGGACCAUAAUGCUGUAAAAGCUCCUCAGGUUGUGCCCUUCCCUCAGUGACACAUCAUCUUCUGAUUGCUGAGGGAAGGACCGUUUGUGUGUGUCUGGAUUCUCAGAUAAAGCCAUGACGGUGAACAUCUGCCAAUAUGUGUUCCCGGCCCUGGUGGUGUCCAUCGCCGCGGUGCUCCUCUGCUUCUAUGUGCGCGCCAGGAGAAAACGAACCGCCGUCGCCACGGCGCCGCCGCCAGGCGCCGGCUCCCCUCCGGGGCUGAGCACGGUGUCGCGGCCUGACGGUCAGACGGAUGAGGAGAGACAUUACGACAGGUUCCCCCCUCGGUACAGCACUGUGGACCCCCCACCACCGUACUCACUGGUGGGUUCGGAAGACUGCGGAUCUUCUCAUCUGACUCUGGAGCAAAAAGCCAAUCUUUCCCCAAAAUAACUAUUCCCACGUUAAAAAAUGCCGUGUGUUCUUUUUAAAGUUGGAAUUGUGUUGACUUCCCUUUUUAUUUCGUUGCAGUUUGACCCCAAGCUGACGGGCGUCUGGCCGGGGGGCUCGCCCCCCGCCUACGAGAUGUACCCGAUAACGCUGCCUCUGGCUCCUCAUCACUGGGCGACAUCCACAGGACGUCCGCGCCCGACCUCGCCGAGCCCCCGCGGGCCCCCCCAGCCGCAGCGCGCCGCCACCAGCUAACGUCGUCGCGUCCGGGUGCUUCUGCUGCACUUUUAACU